This 117-nucleotide long non-coding RNA is filed under the name Fukomys damarensis (Damara mole-rat). Its description in RNAcentral is "lncRNA (ENSFDAG00000021731.1)". Lineage: Eukaryota; Metazoa; Chordata; Mammalia; Rodentia; Bathyergidae. The record is from RNAcentral.
CAUGGAUGAAAUGAGAAGUCCAGUCCUGUGUUUGGACCUCGUGGAGGAGGCUGCUGAAGUGUCUGCGUGGUCCUUCGGGUGUCCCCGGCCUCCUGCAAUGCCAGAUGACAUGGUUUC